GAAAUGCGAUAAGUAAUGUGAAUUGCAGAAUUCAGUGAAUCAUCGAAUCUUUGAACGCACAUUGCGCCCCUUGGUAUUCCGAGGGGCAUGCCUGUUCGAGCGUCAUUGCACAAUCUCUCAAGCCUGGCUUGGUGUUGGGUCUUCGUCCCUCCCUCCCUUCUCCCUACUGUUCGGGUAGGGGGAAGAGGACCCGGACGUACCUAAAAAUUAGUGGCGGUGCCCCAUGUUGGUCUCAAGCGUAGCAGACUCUCUCUCGCUUUGGAUGACCUGUCAUGUUAGCUCACCAGCCCCUGCAUGUAUGCAUGCAUCUUUAACCAAUGUUUGACCUCGGAUCAGGUAGGGAUACCCGCUGAACUUAA
Molecule: unclassified non-coding RNA, 359 nt
Filed under: uncultured Trichoglossum
Lineage: Eukaryota; Fungi; Ascomycota; Geoglossomycetes; Geoglossales; Geoglossaceae
Description: sequence contains ITS1
Rfam family: 5.8S ribosomal RNA (bases 1-105)
Source: RNAcentral